GGGCUCACUUCAGCCACACAUAUAUUAAAAUUGGAACAACACAGAGAAGAUUAACAUGGCCCCUGUGCAAGGAUGACACACAAAUUCGUGAAACGAUCCACAUUUUU
Molecule: small nuclear RNA, 107 nt
Organism: Mus pahari (shrew mouse)
Lineage: Eukaryota; Metazoa; Chordata; Mammalia; Rodentia; Muridae
Source: RefSeq, a predicted model, not a curated record